CGGAUUCGUAAAACUCUGUCUUAUGGGACGAUAAUGGCGGUACCAUACGGAGGAAGCCACGGCUAACUACGUGCCAGCAGCCGCGGUAAUACGUAGAUGGCAAGCGUUGUCCGGAUUUACUGGGCGUAGGAUGUGUAGGCGGAUAUUUAAGUGAGAUGUGAAAUCCCCGGGCUUAACUUGGGGGCUGCAUUUCAAACUGG
This 200-nucleotide ribosomal RNA is filed under the name uncultured Clostridium sp. RNAcentral's name for it is "partial 16S ribosomal RNA". It matches the Rfam family "Bacterial small subunit ribosomal RNA", at positions 418 to 636 of the family's 1533-position model. Lineage: Bacteria; Bacillati; Bacillota; Clostridia; Eubacteriales; Clostridiaceae. The record is from RNAcentral.